GAAACAAUGAAAAUGAAAACUAUACAAGGGAAAAAGCACAAAACAAGGUUAAUGCAUUUGCGUGUUAAAUUGUGGAGUUCUGCGAGAGUUCUCAUCUUCACUUUUCCGCGCCAAAAAUCAAAUCCCAUUGUCCGAUGUAAUCACUUGUUUCUCUCUCACCUCUCACAAAUAGCAGUCGGUUGUCGAUUCCACCCCAAGUUUUG
This 203-nucleotide unclassified non-coding RNA is filed under the name Hevea brasiliensis (rubber tree). The record is from RNAcentral. Lineage: Eukaryota; Viridiplantae; Streptophyta; Magnoliopsida; Malpighiales; Euphorbiaceae.